AAAAGAUUUUUAUCUUUUUUUAUUGGUUCUAAGAUAAAAAUAAUGAUUAAUAGGGACAGUUGGGGGCAUUUGUAUUUAACAGUCAGAGGUGAUAUUCUUAGAUUUGUUAAAGACAAACUAAUGCGAAAGCAUUUGCCAAGGAUGUUUUCAUUAAUCAAGAACGAAAGUUAGGGGAUCGAAGACGAUCAGAUACCGUCGUAGUCUUAACCAUAAACUAUGCCA
This 222-nucleotide ribosomal RNA is filed under the name Cryptosporidium felis. RNAcentral's name for it is "partial small subunit ribosomal RNA". It matches the Rfam family "Eukaryotic small subunit ribosomal RNA", at positions 822 to 1044 of the family's 1831-position model. Lineage: Eukaryota; Apicomplexa; Conoidasida; Eucoccidiorida; Cryptosporidiidae. The record is from RNAcentral.